AGAGUUUGAUCCUGGCUCAGGAUGAACGCUAGCGACAGGCCUAACACAUGCAAGUCGAGGGGCAGCACAUGAGUAGCAAUACGAUGGUGGCGACCGGCGCACGGGUGAGUAACACGUAUGCAACCUGCCUGUAAGAGGGGAAUAACCCGGAGAAAUUCGGAUUAAUACCGCAUAACACUGUGAUAUCGCAUGAUAUUACAUUUAAACAUUUAUGGCUUACAGAUGGGCAUGCGUAUGAUUAGCUAGUUGGUGAGGUAACGGCUCACCAAGGCAACGAUCAUUAGGGGUUCUGAGAGGAAGGUCCCCCACACUGGUACUGAGACACGGACCAGACUCCUACGGGAGGCAGCAGUGAGGAAUAUUGGUCAAUGGACGAGAGUCUGAACCAGCCAAGUCGCGUGAAGGAAGAAUGUCCUAUGGAUUGUAAACUUCUUUUGUAGAGGAAUAAAAGAUAGUACGUGUACUAUAUUGUAUGUACUUUACGAAUAAGGAUCGGCUAACUCCGUGCCAGCAGCCGCGGUAAUACGGAGGAUCCAAGCGUUAUCCGGAUUUAUUGGGUUUAAAGGGUGCGUAGGCGGACGUUUAAGUCAGUGGUGAAAGUUUGCAGCUCAACUGUAAAAUUGCCAUUGAAACUGAAUGUCUUGAGUGUAAAUGAGGUAGGCGGAAUGUGUUGUGUAGCGGUGAAAUGCUUAGAUAUAACACAGAACACCAAUUGCGAAGGCAGCUUACUGGGAUACAACUGRCGCUGAGGCACGAAAGCGUGGGGAUCAAACAGGAUUAGAUACCCUGGUAGUCC
RNAcentral lists this ribosomal RNA (796 nucleotides) under uncultured bacterium. RNAcentral describes it as "bacterial SSU rRNA". It matches the Rfam family "Bacterial small subunit ribosomal RNA", at positions 8 to 796 of the family's 1533-position model. The record is from RNAcentral.